Molecule: transfer RNA, 74 nt
Filed under: Candidatus Levyibacteriota bacterium
Lineage: Bacteria; Candidatus Levyibacteriota
Description: tRNA-Met
Rfam family: tRNA
About the family: Transfer RNA (tRNA) molecules are approximately 80 nucleotides in length.
Source: RNAcentral
GCCAGGGUAGCUCAGCCGGUUAGAGCACGGCAUUCAUAACGCCGAGGUCGUGGGAUCGUGACCCACCCCUGGUA